AUACGUAGGGGGCGAGCGUUGUCCGGAAUGAUUGGGCGUAAAGGGCGCGUAGGCGGCGCGGUAAGUCUGGAGUGAAAGUCCUGCUUUCAAGGUGGGAAUUGCUUUGGAUACUGCCGCGCUUGAGUGCAGGAGAGGUUAUCGGAAUUCCCGGUGUAGCGGUGAAAUGCGUAGAGAUCGGGAGGAACACCAGUGGCGAAGGCGGGUAACUGGACUGCAACUGACGCUGAGGCGCGAUAGUGUGGGGAGCAAACAGGAUUAGAUACCCUGGUAUUCCACGCUGUAAACGAUGAAUGCUAGGUGUAGGGGGUAUCGACCCCUUCUGUGCCGCAGUCAACACAAUAAGCAUUCCGCCUGGGGAGUACGGCCGCAAGGUUGAAACUCAAAUGAAUUGACGGGG
This 397-nucleotide ribosomal RNA is filed under the name uncultured bacterium. RNAcentral's name for it is "partial 16S ribosomal RNA". It matches the Rfam family "Bacterial small subunit ribosomal RNA", at positions 523 to 918 of the family's 1533-position model. The record is from RNAcentral.